AAGGCACCACCAAGGAGAGUGAAGCAUGUGCUAAUUUGACUCCAACGCGGGAAAUCUACCCGGGUCCGGACCACUGAGGAUGACAGACAGUUUCUAUAUAUUGAAUUGGCGGAGUAUUACUACAAAUAUGCUAGCUCUUUCAAGAUUGUGUGAUAGGUGGUGCAUGGCCGUUCUUAGUUCGUGGAGUGAUCUGUCUGCCCAAUCGCGUUUCAAAUUUACGAGUCGAGUUGUUGUGAGUUCUCGCGUUGGCUUUGUAGGUGUACCGCACAUGCAAUUGCCACGCGCGUCUCACUUACAGACUCUCUUGAACGCAACGGACGGGACCGUACCCUCUUGUUGUGUAGAGCAAGUCAAAGCUGCGUUGUACUUUGUAUCUCUUAACGGAAUGCAAGUUCAAUUGCAUUAGCUAGCGACUCCACUACACAUGUUCACGUCGUCUCAUCUUCAAUUCACUUGAGUCGACUGGACAAACUUGAGGGACCGCUGUAACAAUCUUUUAAACCAGAUGAAGGUUGCGGCAAUAACAGGUCUGUGAUGCCCUUAGAUGUCCCGGGCUGCACACGUGCUACAAUGAUCAGUACAGUGAGCAUCUUUUCAAGUACACAAGUGUCUGGCAAUCUUGUUGUUGGCUAUCACGUCGGCAACUUGUAAUUGCUACACUGUAUCCCGACUCUGAGAGGAUUCGGUAAUCCAUUUGAAGUACUGACUCUAACUCGCGUUUGAGCAUUUAUCCUAUAAUGGCCCCGGUGUUACGUCCCUUGUCGGCUUUGACCGACUUGUGCGACGGCCGUUGGUUUGCCAUUUAUGCAAUUGUUAAUUCAAAGUGGGGACAGACGAUUGUUAAUUGUUCGUCUCGGUCUCAACUAGGAAUUCCUUGUACGGGUCUUUGGUUCAACAGACCACCCGGAAUACGUCCCUGCCCUUUGUACACACCGCCCGUCGCUCUUACCGAUGGACUUCUCUGCGAGUUUGGGCGACCAAUAGCAACUAUUGCUAUGGAAUCUUAAACGAACAGGGUUGUUUAAAGGAAAGAGAAGUCGUAACAAGGCAUCAGGGUACCGAGCUCGAAU
Molecule: ribosomal RNA, 1070 nt
Filed under: Hastigerinella digitata
Lineage: Eukaryota; Foraminifera; Rotaliida; Globanomalinidae
Description: SSU rRNA
Rfam family: Eukaryotic small subunit ribosomal RNA
Source: RNAcentral